GUUUUGAGAGGUAUGGGCAUUGUGAAUGUAAUCGCGCGUUAUGUGGUAGGCACAGCACAGCGGAUGUCAUUUCAGAUCUAGAGCAGAGCCCAACUGGGGAGGUACCUCCACCUUACAGAAAACCGCA
Cydia strobilella is the source of this 127-nucleotide long non-coding RNA. RefSeq lists it as uncharacterized. Lineage: Eukaryota; Metazoa; Arthropoda; Insecta; Lepidoptera; Tortricidae. The transcript has 2 exons. The record is from RefSeq and is a predicted model, not a curated record.